ACGAACGCUGGCGGCAUGCCUAACACAUGCAAGUCGAACGAGACCUUCGGGUCUAGUGGCGCACGGGUGCGUAACGCGUGGGAACCUGCCUUAGGUUCGGAAUAACUCCCCGAAAGGGGUGCUAAUACCGGAUAAUGUCUUCGGACCAAAGAUUUAUCGCCUUUGGAUGGGCCCGCGUUGGAUUAGCUAGUUGGUAGGGUAAAAGCCUACCAAGGCGACGAUCCAUAGCUGGUCUGAGAGGAUGAUCAGCCACACUGGGACUGAGACACGGCCCAGACUCCUACGGGAGGCAGCAGUGGGGAAUAUUGGACAAUGGGCGAAAGCCUGAUCCAGCAAUGCCGCGUGAGUGAUGAAGGCCUUAGGGUUGUAAAGCUCUUUUACCCGGGAUGAUAAUGACAGUACCGGGAGAAUAAGCUCCGGCUAACUCCGUG
Molecule: ribosomal RNA, 431 nt
Filed under: uncultured bacterium
Lineage: Bacteria
Description: partial 16S ribosomal RNA
Rfam family: Bacterial small subunit ribosomal RNA
Source: RNAcentral